Molecule: ribosomal RNA, 551 nt
Filed under: Hyboscolex pacificus
Lineage: Eukaryota; Metazoa; Annelida; Polychaeta; Scalibregmatidae
Description: partial 16S ribosomal RNA
Rfam family: Bacterial large subunit ribosomal RNA
Source: RNAcentral
AAAAACAUUGCCUUUUGAGCCCACCAUAAAAGGUCCGCCCUGCCCAGUGACGCUCAGUUAAACGGCCGCGGUACCCUGACCGUGCAAAGGUAGCAUAAUAAUUUGCCUCCUAAUUAGAGGCUAGUAUGAAUGGGUAAACGAGAGCAAUCCUGUCUCCUAUAGUUCACUAAAAAUUUAUCUCCAAGUGAAAAAGCUUGGAUCCGCCUACAGGACAAGAAGACCCUGUCGAGCUUUAUUACUCCCCUACCUCUACCACAACCCUCCUAGUGAGACCAAGGUUCAAGGUAAACCUAAUUUUGUUGGGGCGACAAAGGAGCACCCAAACCCUCCAUUUACUUAAAAGACCAACAAGUCUCCUAUAAUAGACCCGCACUAUAGCGCACAAAGGAAAAGCUACCGCAGGGAUAACAGGCUAAUCCUCCUUGAGAGCCCACAUUGACAGGAGGGCUUGGCACCUCGAUGUUGGCUUAGGGCUGCUUCUAAAUGCAGAAGUUUAGAAAAGCAAGUUUGUUCAACUUAUAAUCCCCUACGUGAUCUGAGUUCAGACCGGC